RNAcentral lists this ribosomal RNA (497 nucleotides) under uncultured bacterium. RNAcentral's name for it is "partial 16S ribosomal RNA". It matches the Rfam family "Bacterial small subunit ribosomal RNA", at positions 28 to 507 of the family's 1533-position model. The record is from RNAcentral.
GAUGAACGCUGGCGGCGUGCCUAACACAUGCAAGUCGAGCGGACGGACGAGGCUUUUGCUUCUCUGCUGUGAGCGGCGGGCGGGUGAGUCACCCGAGUAUACCCGACCUUUAAGACUGAGAUCACGACGCGAAAGCGGAUAUAACAUAGGAUAAGAUUUUGAACCGUGGGGUUCUUAGGUGAUAGACGGUCUUGCUGACACUAAUAGAGGGUUCUGAGCUGGAGUGGCUAGUUGGUACGGUAACGGCUUACCAAGGCAACGAUGCAUAGCCGACCUGAGAGGGUGAUAGGUCACACUGGAACUGAGACACGGUCCAGACUCCUACGGGAGGCAGCAGUAGGGAAUGUUCGGCAAUGGGCGAAAGCCUGACGCAGCAACGCCGCGUGAGUGAUGAAGGUCUUCGGAUCGUAAAGCUCUGUUAGUAGGGAAGAACAGCUGUGUAAGGAAAUGUGGCCAUCUUGACGGUACCUAAACAAAAAGCACCGGCUAACUACGUG